UGCAAGCACUCUGGAUUAGGUGGCGGGUUGGUUGUAUUUUUCUUUAAUUUUAUUGCGGUGGGUUUUUCUCGUUUGCACGGGAAAACUCGGCAGCGUCUCCAGGAUGCUGAUCCAUGGGGGAGAAGUGAGGAAGUGGGGAGCCAGAGGCACUUCCCAGUCCAAGAAGGAGAAAGAGUCUCCGGGUGUGUGAUGACUCCACCCAAGUCUCAAAGUGGGGGCUCCAACUGCUGGCUUUCAGUGCCCUCCUUACAAAACAAAAGCAAAAACCCCGACGUUCGGCAGCAGCCACAGCCGCAGUGGUGUCACAGCUAGAAACACCCCAGUCCGAGGAAUGACAGAGUUGGCCGAAAGGUGGCUGGUGUAGAAAAAGGAGAGGCGUUUUGUUGUUUUGCGUGUAUGACAAAAGCAUUUCCUCCUCAGAGGUCGGACACGCUUUAGUAGCUCGUUCACUCGCUGUCCACCCACCGGCUGGCCCCCAUCUGCCAACAGUGACCCGCGCCCGCCUGCCGCCGGGGCACCAAGUGAAAGAAACGGGGGUCGGGGCGCGAUCCUCCAACAGGCAGUAUCAGUCCCUCUGAGCAGCACCUUUUCGCUCUUCCUGGGAAUUUCAUCCUGGCCUCCCCCCACCAACCUCAUAUAUUUUUUUGUUUGGAAGAUAAACUGAGUUAAUUACAUCAUUUAAAUUAAUGCGGUUUUACCGCUUGCUUACAACUACUCCCUUCUUUCAGUUUCUAAUACGAAAUAGUUACACACUGAAACUUUAUUUAGACAUCAGGCCAGAGGAAGGAGAGCCAAAGAAAGUAUGCUUACUUGGAAUUAAGAUCCUAUGAAUCCAAUGGCAUUUAUUUCCAGGCAAGUGGAUCAAAUAUUGGAGUUUUAAAGUUUCAAAGCAGGGGCAUAGCAAGGUUGAAGCGGGCCCUGGGAUAAACAGUGAAGAUGAGCCCCUGUCCCCUGUGUUCAGAGAGGCGUGAGGGGGAAAGUAAAGAGCAAGCUGUCACCCAGCAGGUGAGCCUUCCUCCCUCAGGCGCCCAGGGACAUUUGUCUACCCACCCACUCUUGUUCAGUUCUGGUUAUGUCUCUGUUUCAAAUCUACUCAUAUAUUUGCUUUGCUCUCAUCGAUAUCAGUGCCUAUUCUCUCAAGUCUACCUAUGUGUCAUAUCCAGGAUUAAUGUCUUCCUGGGCUUUUGCUGUUGAACCCCAAACAAAGAUAUAAAUGCUAUCAUAAUGUCAGCAUCCUUACUGGGAAGGUAACUGAUCUCAGAGCAAUAUUUAAGGAAUCCAAGCAAAAGAAUCAAAUUACAGAUUUGUCUGCCUAACAUCUGCCCUAGUAAAAUUUGUAGAAAGCAUUAUUGAAACGAGAAUUAUUAAACAGACAGAAGAACAAGCCUUGCUGAAGAAAAAUCAGCAUAUAUUUUGCAAAGAGAAUUUUGCCUCAAACGUUUAGAAUUCUUUAAGUGUUUCACCAAAUAUGCAGAUAGCAAUGAUCCAUUGGACCAUGGGUUCCCAACCUGUGGUACUCCAGAUACUGCUGAACUAUAACUCCCAUCAUUCCCAGAGACAAUUUAUUGUGGCUGGGGGGUCGCAGGAGUUGUAGUUCAGCAACAUCUGGCGGUCCACAGGUUGGGAACUUCUGCACUAAACUUUAUAUACUUGGAAUUUCAAAAAAGUUUGAUGAAGUCCAACACCAUUUUUAAAAGGGGGUGGGGGCAACUUUAAGCCUUUCCUCUUCUGACCAUUUUUGCUGCUGAAGGCUCCCUUCCAUCAGCUGUCCUUACAGUCAGGAAAUGCUGGAGAGACUUGAAACACUCCCUAUCUUUCACCUUUCCUUAUAGGAAUAUGCACAAAUCGAUUUUUGCAAUUUGAGUUCAGAAUGAAUCAGUCUGAUUUGAUCCAAGCUUGAAUCUGCUGUCUCAAAUCUGGGGCCGAUUCAAACUUGAUUUGAUGUCACACAGUGCAUUGUUGGAUAUCCAGAGGCUGAGACAACACAUCCUGGCCUCCAGAGCUAUGGGCUGCGCCCUGCGGCGCAGAACAUCUGGGAGUAUAGUCCACACAUCCAGCAACAGUUCAGUGAUCGUCUGGGAGGGAAAUGAGUUAGGAACAGGAACAGCCUUCCCCGUGCCCUCCUGGUCAUCUGAAUGGCUCCAGCGUCUUAUAAGUCAUACCUUGAUUAGUUCACAUGUCCCAGCAUGCCACACUUUCACCUGACCCUUGUCAUCAGCGCUCACAAUGUGAGUGCCAUUCAUUUUAGCAGCCCAAACAGUUCCUUUGUGCUUCAAAGUCUUCAAGCAUUUCCCACUUUCUAUAUCCCACACUGUCAGGAACAGAAAAAACAAAUGCAGUUAGUUAGUUAAAGGUCUCUAAACCAGAAAAGGAUACACACAGCACAUUUAGAAAGGACUGUUGUUCUUUAGCUGUUUUUAACCAAAAUUUAAUUUUAUUCUUCCUCUUUGCAUUUGUAAUCAAAGGUGCACCUAGGUAAGUUUGGAGCCUGGGCCUUUGGAGCCCCCCGCCCCUGCAAAUUAAGCAUCAUCAUGCUCAGCUGGGCAACCACACCACCCAGGACAGACUAAAGAAGAUUUGGGGGCCCCCAGGGGCUGUGGAGACCCUGGACUUCAGCCCUGAAGUCCAGGGGUAAAAGCACCUCUGUUUGUAAUCUAUGCUUUGCUGAGUAUAGUCUCUCAGAAGUGUACAUGGAUGUGUAAGUGUAGGAAUAUAAUCUAAACAUAAAAAUAACUGGUUGCAAGAUCCUUACAUCCAAGGAGGAGGGCAAAUUGUUUGAGAUUAUAUAGUCCCUUUUUAGAGAACAUGGUGGACAUAUUAGUAACUUCAUUUAUUACAUCAUCAUUUUUCAGCCCUUGAAUUCCAUUGCCCUAUAAUUUGAUUACUAUAAUUCUAUGGAUUUAACCAAAGGUUGUUGAUUUUCCUCUAAUCCCCUAGAAGAAAUAAAGUUUCUACUUGCUCACUUUUCACCAUGCAGUCCUUGGCUCCAGACACAAAUUUGUUCUUGUGCAAAUGCAAGCAGUUGAUGGUCCCUGAGUGGCCAUUAAAAAUUUUGAUACAUACCCCAGUGAUGAUAUUCCACAUCCUAAAGAACACAGAUCAAGAGGGUGAGAAGAAAGGAACACACACAUACUGAAUUGUUCAUUGUUGACAUUCAAGGCAUAUCCACACAGACGUUCCAAAUGUUACUAAUUUGUACUACUGUGAAACCAGCAGAAUGGGAAAUAAUACUUGGAAGAAAUAUGUUUUGCAUAGAAAUCCCCCGUAUGGAUUGUUUUGGUCAUAUCAUGCCAGGGCUUCGUUAACUGCACUGGCUCUAGUGCGUUUUCAGGCCCAAUUCAAAGUGCUGGCUUUAACCUUUAAAGCCCUAAAUGGCUUGCAACCAGGUUACCUGAGAGAGUGCCUUGACCCAUAUGUCCUGACUCAGACGUUAAGAUCUUCUUUGGAGGCCCUAGUCCAAGUGCCCCUGCCAAAUGAGGUGAGGUGGGUGGCUACUAGGGAGAAGGCCCUUUUGGUUGUGGCACCCUGUUUAUGGAAUAGCCUCCCCAGUGAGGCUCACCUGGCAUUGUCACUUUGUUCUUUUAGAUGCCAGGUUGCCAGGUGAAGACCUUUCUGUUCACUCAGGCUUUUUAAAAAAAUGAUUUUUAAAACUGAGUUUUUAAAAACAAUAUUUAAAAUUUUUGUUUUGUAUUUUGUAAUUUUUUUGUUUAUGUCAUGAUUUGUUAGUUGUAUUUUAUGUGUUUUAUUGGAUGUUUCUUAAUGUUGUGUUAUGAGUCACCCAGAGAACAAUUUGUUAUGCCUAACAAAGUUGGCUAACAAAGUUUUUGUUGUUGUUAUUGUUUGGUUUGUUUUAUUACAUUGCUCAACACCAGAAUUUCCCUUGUCUACCAUGUAGAAGGAAAUGGUACAAUAAUUAUGUGGCAUGUGCAGAUCUGAUGUGUUAAAUCCAUGGACAUAGCUAGAAUUAAAUAGGGGGUGGCACAAAUGUCCCUGGGCCGCAGAGGAAGAGGGGCACACCAGCUGAGUGACAGCUUGCUCUUUGAUCUCCCCUCCCCCCUCUCCAAAGGAGGAGGCAGGGAGAUGGGAGACAGGCAAGGGCCCAUCUUUGCUUUUUGUCCCAAGGCCAACCUCAUUAUGCCCCUGGUUGAAUCAGCAGAUCAGAGACUCAAAAUUACCUUAAUCUGCACAGCCAUGUUUCAACAUCCCAUCAUCUAUAUCUCCUUGCCCAAUAAAGCCUACCUGUGGUUACUACUUUUUGCAACUUUUUAGUUAUAUAUUGAAUGUUCAAGAUUUUAGCCUUUAACAGUGAGGUUUUGUGGAGUACAAUAUGACAGAUAGCAUUAAGGUUUAAACUGUGCUUAUGAGAUAUCAAGAAACACUGUUCAAAAGCCUGCAUAAUUAAAAAACAAAAACAAACAAAGAAUGUAUUUAAACUGGUCCACAAACAAUACAUUAGUGGUUUAUUAGUAAUCUAGAUGCCCUUCUCAGAAACUCUGUUCUCAGUACCAUCCUUUUAUUUUAUUUUUUAAAAUAAAAAAUAGAUUAAGUAUACAAUUUUUAGAAAUAUGCAAAUUAUAAAUAAAAAUUUCAUUUGAAAUUAUUUUGAAAAUACUCUAUUGCUAUACCAAAGCUAGACUGUGAGGAGCUUUGGAAGCCACAGUGGUUCCAAAUCAAAUUGGCACAAUUCAACCUGAACUAAAUCACUGUAAAGUUCAGGUGGAAUUGGAGCCAAACUGAAGCUAUAGCCAGCCCAAUUAAUUUGGAAUAGUUUGGCCUCUAAAGCUUUCCCCUCUUACUCUCCCAUUCUUUCCCCUGUAGUUACCUUACCAGGUUGGCAAGGCACUUUUUCAUGGCAGAGAAUGAGUAGCUGUGAUUCAUAUGGUUGCUUUUUCAAAAGUCCUGAAAAUAAAUGUGUUCAUUUCUUUGAUUACUUGAUUGAUUAAGUGCUGUGAAGUUGGUGUCGACUCUUAGUGACCACAUAGAUAGAUUAUCUCCAAGACGAUCUGUCUUCAACUUGGCCUUUAAGGUCCCUCAGUGGUACAUUCAUUGCUGUCAUAAUCGAGUCCAUCCACCUUGCUGCUGGUCGUCCUCUUCGCUUUCCUUCAACUUUUCCCAUCAUUAUGGACUUCUCAAGUGAGCUGGAUCUUCGCAUGUGUCCAAAGUAUGAUAGUUUGAGCCUGGUCAUUUAUGCCUCAAGUGGAAAUUCUGGAUUGAUUUGUUCUAUGAUCCAUUUGUUUGUUUUCCUGGCUGUUCAUAGUAUCCUCAAAAGUCUUCUCCAGCACCAAAGUUCAAAAGCGUCUAUGCUUUUUCUAUCUUGCUUCUUCAAAGUCCAGCUUUCGCAUCCAUAGAGUGUCACGAGAAAAAUGAUUGUCCGAACGAUUCUAAUCUUUGUAGGUAUAGACACGUCAUGGCAUCGAAAUCUCCUUCCCAAGGCCUUCAUUGCUACCCUACCAAGUGCUAGUCUGCGGCGUAUUUCUUGACUGCUGGAUCCUUUACUGUUGAUGGUUGAUCCUAAAAGGCAGAAGCUAUCCACCACUCCAAUGUCUUCAUUGUCAAUUCUGAGCCUGGUUGCUGUACCCAUUGUCAUUAGUUUAGUCUUCUUUACAUUUAGUUGUAGUCCCAUUUUUUCACUGUGCUCCUUGACUUUCAUUACUAGAGCUUGCAGAUCAUCCGCAUUCUCAGCUAUCAGAGUAGUGUCAUCCGAGUAGCGCAGGUUAUUGAUGUUUCUUCCUCUAACUUUAAAACCACGGUCAUCUUCUUCCAAUCUAGCUUCUCUCAGUAUAUGUUCAGCAUAUACUUGAAAUAAUUGAAAAAAUAAGAAGAAAGUAUACAGCCUUGCCUUACCCCUUACGUUCCACAUUCCCAUUAUAAUUCUGUAUUUGCAGCUUCAGAUUUUCUUUUACGCAUGGCAACAUCAGCUGCUAGAUAUCCAAAAGACUUUAAUCUAAUUGUGUCAUAAAUUCCAUCAGUACUCUGGGAGAUCCUCAGCUCUUCCUCAGUAGCAUGUUGAGUACCAUCCGACCUGAGGGGCCCAUCAUCCAGCACGACAUCGACAAUCAUUCUAUUUUGUCUAUACAUGUGGUUUUCUUGGUAAAAUACAGGAGUGGUUUACCAUUGCUUUCUCCCACGCAGUAUGAAAUGAUGCCUUUGUCGUUGUCACUGAAGUGAUCUUCUGCCUCCAGCACCUUCUUAUAUCGAUGUCUGCUUGCUUUAGCUGGGCAGCUGGGAUGACCUGCAUGCUUCGGGUGACCCUAGAGCAGGGCUUCUCAGCCUCUGGAUCCCCAGAUGUAAUUAGACUUCAACUCCCAUAAUUCCCAACCAAAGGCCACUGGGGCUGGGGAUUAUGGGAGCUGAAGUCCAAUAACAUCUGGGGACCCACACGUUGAGAAGCCCUGCCCUAGUGGGAUUAUACCUCCCAGUGUACUUUUCUCAUCCCUCCCAAGAACACCCUGCUCCCGCCAUUAUGAGGCAGAAUAGCAGGACGUGUGUGUGUGUGUGAUCAAUUAAUAUAAUAUAGUUACUCCUGAUCUUUCAUAUUACUUCACUUACUUUCUGGAUCAGGAUUAUUCCAUUUUUAAAAAAAGGGUUUAUCAAUCUGAGAUACAGCAAACCAGAUUGUUAUAGCGGCUAUAGCACAUCAUAUUAUAUUCAGUGCUGAGAAAAGAAAACCACAAAAUCAAAACUUAGGAACAUAGGAAGCUGCCAUAUAUUGAUUCAGAACAUAGGUCCAUAUAGCUCAGUAUUGUCUACACAGACUGGCAGUGGCUUCUCCAAGGUUCCAAGCAGGAGUCUAUCUCAGCCCUAUCAUGGAGAUGCCAGGGAAGGAACUUGGAACCCAGAUCCUCUUCCCAGAGCGGCUCCAUCCCCUGAGGGGAAUUUCUUACAGUGCUCACACUUCUAAUCUCCCUUUCAUAUGCAUCCAGGGCAGACCCUGCUUAGCUAAGGGGACAAGUCAUGCUUGCUACAAGACCAGCCAACCUAGCAGCAAGAAGAUCACAAGCCAAUCAGAAGCCAGUGCCAAAAUCAAGCCCACCAAAUUGGCACUUGGAAUGCCCAGAAUGCUCCAACUUGUAACACGGUCAUUCCAUUCUGAGCCUUUCAUUUGAAGUGUGUCCUGUUUUGAGCUCCGAACCCUUGAAACAGCCCAUUUCAAGUCAAAACAUUCCAAACUCAGAACAUUCUGCACAUCCCUAGUAUUAUUCUGUAAACUCAUUACUGAGUCAAUUUCUUUUAUGCAGAGAACAUACUUCAACAGAGUUUUGAAAUAUAAUUGCUCAAAUUCUCACCAUUAAGAGGAAACUUUCCAUGAGUCCUGUUCUGCUACAAAUUGUAAGUGGGUUGUGUAAAUUUAUAUCUAGGAGUGCUACAACUCUUUCUUUGAAUGACCUAAUCAAAGUACUUCUAACUAUUCUCAGGUGUUUAUCUGACCUGAUGAAUUUCAAAGCUAACUUAUCCCAUUCCCCAGGUUUGAUUGGGGAGAUAAUAAAGUUAAUAAAGUGGCAAAUUUGAAAAAGAAAUCCUAGGUUUUGUAAGAAAUACAUUUUGAUUAGAACCAUUCUACCCAUCCAAAAUAUUUUAUAGGUUUCCAUUAAUAAUUCUGCCUUUUAAGUCCUGCUCAACCUCCCCAAAGUUAAAUAUAUGUUCGAGAUCAGGCUCCCAAACUUUAAAAAAUGGGAUUCACCAAUAGGUUUUUGCCUUCAAGGUUUAAGGUUCACUUGCCAGUCUCAGUCACAGCUACAAAAGUGAAUCUCUCUGUGCUGCCCUGUCCCCAAGGCACUCUAGCAACACUCUGGGAUUCACCCAUCAAGCCUCCAAUUUUUCUACAGGUAAUUUCAAGUUUAACUCACUUCUUAGAAGCACAUGCCACACAGCCCACUCCAGCUAAUUUUAGAUUCAAGGAGCAAAGUUAAGUAUGCUUUUAUUCCAUGAAAAUUGAGCAUUUAAGUGACAUUGAUUUCAGUGAUCUGGGACUUUCUCAGUACUAUGGCCCUUUGGAUAGUGUAUCCAAAUGCAGUGUACAGAUGUUGGUACCAGCUGAGCUCACCUGAUGCUGAGAUCAUAGCUGCCACUCAGAAUAAAUCCUUUCUGUUCAUUGAGCCAAAUGGCUCGGAUGCUACCAGCAUGGCCACGAAUGAGAGGAAGGACUUCUUUUUGCUCACUCAGAUGCAGAAGAUGGAUUUUUCGGUCUGCAGAACCAACAGCCAACAACUUUCCACCACUGUAAUGUAUCACCCUGUUUUGAUCCAUACUGAGAAAGGAAGGAAGGAGAAGCUGAAGGCAGAAUCUUUUAAAGUUUGAUAUGUUUAUAUUCCACUUUCAUUUCAUGAGGCAAUUCAAAGCAGCCUACAUGGAAUUCUCAGGGGAUGUUCCAUCCAGGCACUGAGCAGAUCAGGGGCAGCAUCAGCAUGUUGGCCAGAUUGGACACUGGUCAAAAGAUCACACCCAUCGGGUGGGCCUACCCAUCUGACCCCUGAAGUUAUAGGUCCUGCUGGGAGUAGUGGUUGUACUACAGCCAACAGACAGGCACCACCACUGCUGCCUUUGCCUGGCACCCCUCAGAGGCCCCUACAUCAUUUUGGGGCCUCUAGAACAUGCUUCUAUUGGCCAGUGGGGAGGUUAGGAGAAAGAGUUGCCAUCUGAGUCUCUUUGCCAAGGGCCUUGCAUGGCAACUCCCUCUUAUCUCAUCCUCCAUAGUCCCCACUGGCCAAUGAGAGGAUGGGGAAUGGACUCAGUAGUGACUCUUCUUCUUCCUUCUAUCCUAGGGUGGGAAUGAGAGGAGCUGCUACCAUUGAUUAUACUAUCACCAACUCCUCUCUCCAUUCUCCAAUAAGCUGGAGAGGUGAGAAGGCCCAUGUGCCAAGAGGACCAAGUGCACGGUUUUGCCAUCCUCCUCUCCAGCAGCCUGGCAUCCGAGUUGGACCACACCCAGACCUGCUUAGCCUCAGCACAUCACUGCAUCACAUGUCUUCAGACCAGUGUUCCCUCUAACAGAGAUUCUCAGAUGUUGUUGACAACAACUCCCAUAAUCCCAAGCCAAAGGCCAUUGCAGCUGGGGAUGCUGGGAGUUGUAGUGAACAACAUCUGAGAAGGAAUCCCUGUUAGAGGGAACACUGCUUCAGAUUAUGGCCUUGGGACCAGUCCUACUAGUUGGGAGCAGGAUCAAGAGGAAGAGCUGCAACUGCAGCAACACCAUAGCAGGGCUACAAUACUUGAUCCCUGCAGACAUUUUAUUUUCUUCCACUCUCCCAGGUUUCAGCUGUAUCAAGGGUGCUGAUGGACCCACAGAUGAAUGAGCAAUAUGGAACCCCUUCCCUAGCAGAUAAAAAUGGUCUCUUUCUAGUCUAAAGUGCUUCACUCCACAAGAAAAAUCCCAAGAAGUCAAGCCACAGAUGGAUGGGAGAGAGAAAAAGAGGGCGUUUGUAUUUAAUAGGUUGAUGGUGUCUGUCAGCUGGCCGUGAUAAGCUUUGUGCAUGUAUUCAAUCUCCUUAAAGCAGAAUGAAGAGCAAUGAUGAUAAAAGAGAGAGACACAUAGAGAAGCAGAUGGUUUCCUACUUCAGCUGGCAGAAGUGAGGCUUCAUCCCCACCCCACUACAGAAAUUCAUCAGGAGCCUACUCUAGUGGAGAGCCAGCAUGCAGUAUGUAUUGGGACUAGACACCCACACAUGCAACCUUGAAUUAUUAUUCCUUUAUAUGGCAAUGAAAAGAACAUAGCUUGAGGCUGCCACAGCUCCCAACUCCCGGGAGACAUGUUUUCCAUCUUUGAGGUGUCCACAAAGUCAAAGCAGUCAAUGGAAAAUAACUGAACACAGCCUAAAGGAGUGCUGGACUAGGACCGGGGAGACUUGAGUUCAAAUCCCCAUUCAGGCAUGAUACUUGCUGGGUGACUCUGGGCCAGUCACUUCUCUCUCAGCCUAACCUACUUCACAGGGUUGUUGUGAGGAGAAACAUAAGUAUGUAGUACACUGCUCUGGGCUCCUUGGAGGAAGAGUGGGAUAUAAAAUGUAAAAAAAUUAAAAGAAAGAAAGAAAGAAAGAAAGAAAGAAAGAAAGAAAGAAAGAAAGAAAGAAAGAAAGAAAGAAAGAAAGAAAGACUUGUUAACUACCAAGAGAUGAAAGUUUGGGGUGGUGUACACAUUUGACAAAUAAAUAAAUAAAUAACUGUCCCACCAUGGGAAUUCCAGAAAUGCAUAAUACCCACAAUGCACCUGUAUAAUACCCACAAUGCACCUGUAUGUGUUGCUUGCUUUGUCUUCUGCUUAGGAUGAUGUCACCAUCUUUAGAAAUCUGAGGGAUAGCAACCUUAACUGUUCUGGCAUAGUUGGCCAUUGCUCGUUUAGGGCAUGACCCCUGCAACAGAUAAGAGGCACCAUUAGGAGGCACCACUGUAAGAAACUGCCCAUUAAAUAAAGGUGUCUGAACUAAAGAAGUAGAUCAGUGACCAUAAGCAGUUCCAAAAAUCAUAAUACUUAACAGCUGGCCACCAGUUUCAUGGGAUGACUCCUGAUUCUAGUGUUGUGAGAGAGGAAGAAAAAUUUCUCUGUCCACUUUCUCUACUCCAUGCAUAAUUUCAUAUACCACUAUCAUGUCUCCCCGUAGUUGCCUCUUUUCCAAACUAAGACGCCCCAGGUGUUGUAGCCUUGCCUCAUAAGGAAGGUGCUCCAGACCCCUGAUCAUCUUGGUUGCCCUCUUCUGCACCCUUUCCAGUUCUACAGUGCAAGCAAGUGCUCCCUUAACUUGGGCUCCAGGAUCAUGUGUUCACUGGGGCUGUGUUCAGCCCGAGCGAACACAUAGAUGGGCACCUAGGGCGUUUGUCUCCUGGAGGAAUCCCCCAAUUCACCGUGCACGUUGUGCAGUGCAUUGUGGGAUAUUCAGAGGCUGGGACACAUCAUCCUGGCCUCUGGAGCUCUGUGCUGCAUGGGGCAGGGUGGAUUGUCUGGGAGCAUGGUCUGCACACCCAGCAACACUCAAUCGUUCGUCUGGAGGGGAAGGUGAGUUGGCCCAGCCUUCCCCACCCAGCCGGUUGUGUGAAUAGCCCCACAGUAUGUCAGGCAGCCCUUUGCUAGAGAAGAACAACAACAUCCAAAAGUGACAAAGAAACACUCUGGGCCUGAGAAGUAAUGGAAGUUCACCUGGAGGUUUUUCACACAUGGCUGUAUGUCUCGGGGUAUCUGAAGAGCAAAUCUGCUUCGCAGCAGAUUCGAUGCAUUUUAAUUCAAGGGAUUAGAUGGACCAUUUGCAUAGCUAUCAGCACCUUCAUCAACACCUUCGGAGAAAGCAGAAACCCUGGAGUUUUUUUCAAAAGCUUCUGGAAAUAGAGGAUUUUUUUAUCCCAGACAUAACCUCGGGCUGUCCUGGUCCCUGAUAACCCGCAGGGAGGUUGAGUUAAAUCCAACGAAU
Long non-coding RNA from Hemicordylus capensis (graceful crag lizard), 11396 nucleotides. RefSeq lists it as uncharacterized. The transcript is spliced from 4 exons. Lineage: Eukaryota; Metazoa; Chordata; Lepidosauria; Squamata; Cordylidae. The record is from RefSeq and is a predicted model, not a curated record.